UUAAAGUGACAACUGUAGUUACUUUGCCGGGAAGUCCCAGGUUCUGCACAGCAUGCCAUGGCGCAUUACGUUGAUAUAAAAAAUACAACCCAGUCCAUUAACAGUCAGCAAGCGGGGGUUAGUGAACAUGGGUUCCGAACUCGCCAGGCACAGUGUGCAGCUGCCUACCAGCGCAACUCUUGGGCCUUGUUUUUGCAGGUCCUCCAUGAGAUUCGUCGCUGAUGGAAGCUUCCGGUGAGCAGCGCGCCUCGGCAUCGAGGCCAGCCGGCGGCUCAGUCAUAUUCAGUCGGCGCGGUCCGUGGGUCACUUUUGGGUGUUCAGGACUGACUAUCGGUGUGGACAAAUGGAAAGUGAGUUUAGGUUGGUCUGCAGUAAUUAAAAAAUGCAAGCGAGUGACGCGGAUUUAUUUGCAGACGCUAACAGUGCUGCGCGCUUUCGAAAUAGGACCUUCCACCUCUAUUGUAUUUUACAUCCAGGCCUGUAGAGUAUUGUAAAGUACUAUCUCCG
RNAcentral lists this long non-coding RNA (507 nucleotides) under Volvox carteri. RNAcentral describes it as "long non-coding RNA (VCAR_LNC000112)". The record is from RNAcentral. Lineage: Eukaryota; Viridiplantae; Chlorophyta; Chlorophyceae; Chlamydomonadales; Volvocaceae.